RNAcentral lists this ribosomal RNA (530 nucleotides) under uncultured eukaryote. RNAcentral's name for it is "SSU rRNA". It matches the Rfam family "Eukaryotic small subunit ribosomal RNA", at positions 21 to 549 of the family's 1831-position model. The record is from RNAcentral.
UAGUCAUAUGCUUGUCUCAAAGAUUAAGCCAUGCAUGUCUAAGUACAAGCCUCACUAAGGCGAAACCGCGAAUGGCUCAUUAAAUCACACCUAAUCUACUGGAUAGUUAACAGUUACUUGGAUAACUGCGGUAAUUCUGGAGCUAAUACAUGCACAAAGCCCCGAACUUACGUGAGGGGCGCUUUUAUUAGAUCAAAACCAAACGGCUUCGGCUGUAUCCUUGGUGACUCUGAAUAACUUUGGGCUGAUCGCAUGGCCUAGCGCCGGCGACAUAUCCUUCGAAGGUGUGCCCUAUCAACUGUCGACUGUGGCAUAGACGCCCACAGUGGUUUUGACGGGUAACGGGGAAUCAGGGUUCGAUUCCGGAGAGGGAGCCUUAAAAACGGCUACCACAUCUAAGGAAGGCAGCAGGCACGCAAAUUACCCAAUGACCGAAGGUCGAGGUAGUGACAAAAAAUAACGAUACGGGACUCAUCUGAGGCCCCGUAAUCGGAAUGAGUACACUUUAAAACCGUCCCCGAGGAUCUAUU